AGCUCCAAUAGCGUAUAUUAAAGUUGUUGCAGUUAAAAAGCUCGUAGUUGGAUUUCUGAGAGGGUCGCAAUGUCAGCCUUCCGCGCUUGUGCAGCGGGGCCCCCUCAUCCUUCUGUUAACGCCUGUCGGCAUUCACUUGCCGCUGGCGGGCCCAGAUAUUUUACCUUGAGAAAAUUAGAGUGUUUCAGGCAGGCUAGGCCGGAAUACAUUAGCAUGGAAUAAUGGAACAGGACUACGGUCUCUUUGUUGGUUUGAGAGAUGGCAGUAAUGAUUAAUAGGGAUAGUUGGGGGCAUUAGUAUUUAAUUGUCAGAGGUGGAAUUCUCAGAUUUGUUAAAGACUAACCUAUGCGAAAGCAUUUGCCAAGGAUGUUUUCA
RNAcentral lists this ribosomal RNA (375 nucleotides) under uncultured eukaryote. RNAcentral's name for it is "SSU rRNA". It matches the Rfam family "Eukaryotic small subunit ribosomal RNA", at positions 587 to 972 of the family's 1831-position model. The record is from RNAcentral.